This 531-nucleotide long non-coding RNA is filed under the name Pongo abelii (Sumatran orangutan). RNAcentral describes it as "lincRNA". Lineage: Eukaryota; Metazoa; Chordata; Mammalia; Primates; Hominidae. The record is from RNAcentral.
GCUCGCCUCUUCAGCUCAUAUAAGGCUGGCUCCCAUCUCCAGGCCCCAAGGAGCCACACCUGGACCAGACCCCAGGAAAGGCAAGGGCACUAGCUAGUGGGAGCCACCCCUGCUACGCUGAUGCUGGAGAAGCAAGAACUCUGGAGAAGCAGCCUCCUGGGACCAGAGGGGGGCCAGCAGCAGGCAGCUCGGCUACAGAACUCUCACCCACGCCUCUCCAAGCCUCCCGACAGAAGACAGAGGUCCCCCACAGCCCAGAGACAUUUCCUGAAGACAUGGGGACCACAGAGGCAGAAACAGCCCAUCCACCCAGGAGCUGCCCCCCACGCUGCCGGGAGCCAGCACCCAGAGCCGCCAGAUAAAACUGAGGCCACCUGGUUCAACAUUGCCUUUCACAGAAGGGGAAACAGCCACAGAAAGAAGGGCCUGGUAAGAAGUGGAACCUGGGACCCCCAAGCGGUGUCUCUCAUCCUGACUGGGGAUCCAGAGUAGGAGGGAGCCUUUGGUGGGGUAAGUGGAAUGGGGGAGGGG